CUUGUGGGAGGUUUCAGGCAUUUGGAAGUUUUAGAUACGACUUCAAGUAAGAUUCACUUUCGGGUGAGGUAUUUAUAUCAGCCAGAGUCCCAGCAGGAAGAUGGCAUCUUCCACAAGAUAAGUGGGCCAAGUUUAAAGAUGAGAUGAUCUACACAGGCAACUCUAUAGAUCACUGGGGACUCAUCCUGCAGAUAUCAUUCAAGGUAUCCGGUUCAGAAUCUAUCACCAGCUCAGACUGUAGCCUCUGAAGAGAUCUCAGAUGUUUUGUGCCUUAUACAUUUAAUUCUGAGAUCAUAGAGCCCAAGGAGGUUUUGAGGACCCUCUACCCACACCUUCAGAUGUUUUCAGAGGAUUUGCUGGCAGGGCUGGGCCACUGGGCCUUGCUGGGCUCUAAUUUUCCUACCCACGUGUGUCCUAUAGACCGUGAAUUUUCUUCUAAACACUCUUGACUUUUCACUUGUUAAAUUAAAGCAUUUUCUUAA
Molecule: long non-coding RNA, 482 nt
Filed under: Homo sapiens (human)
Lineage: Eukaryota; Metazoa; Chordata; Mammalia; Primates; Hominidae
Description: HSALNT0337805
Source: RNAcentral